GUAGGUGGCAAGCGUUGUCCGGAAUUAUUGGGGCGUAAAGCGCGCGCAGGCGGUUCUUUAAGUCUGAUGUGAAAGCCCACGGGCUCAACCGUGGGAGGGUCAUUGGAAACUGGAGAACUUGAGUACAGAAGAGGAAAGCGGAAUUCCACGUGUAGCGGUGAAAUGCGUAGAGAUGUGGAGGAACACCAGUGGCGAAGGCGGCUUUCUGGUCUGUAACUGACGCUGAGGCGCGAAAGCGUGGGGAGCAAACAGGAUUAGAUACCCUGGUAGUCCACGCCGUAAACGAUGAGUGCUAAGUGUUAGGGGGUUUCCGCCCCUCAGUGCUGCAGCUAACGCAUUAAGCACUCCGCCUGGGGAGUACGGCCGCAAAGGCUGA
This 376-nucleotide ribosomal RNA is filed under the name uncultured organism. Its description in RNAcentral is "partial 16S ribosomal RNA". It matches the Rfam family "Bacterial small subunit ribosomal RNA", at positions 527 to 897 of the family's 1533-position model. The record is from RNAcentral.